This is a long non-coding RNA of Lagopus muta (rock ptarmigan), 5167 nucleotides long. RefSeq lists it as uncharacterized. The transcript has 3 exons. The record is from RefSeq and is a predicted model, not a curated record. NCBI's taxonomy places the organism in Eukaryota, Metazoa, Chordata, Aves, Galliformes, Phasianidae.
CCAUGACUCACAGAUGAAAAGCAGCUAAGGACAAUUUCUAAUUUUUUCUUUUCAGUUUUGUUUGCCCUACUCAAACUAGAAGGGGAAAAAUGCUGAAUUUGUUUAUUCUGUCGCUAUGUUAACUUUGCAUAAACUCUAAGCAGAAUCAGUGCGUGCUCUUGGGAGGUGGCCUUUCCUAGCAGCUACUUCAGACCAUAUAUGCUUAAGAUUAUUACUGCACGCAGCUAUGGAUAAUACUUUUACUGGGUGGAUAACAGGGUUUCACUGGGUGUAACAACAACAACAACAAAAAGUCAAAGAAUGAAGACUGUUUAAGAAUUUAAUAAGGAAGCAACACUGAGGUGAAUUCCAGAAAGUACCUGUGGGACACAAGUUGGAGAACAGACAGAUGUGAUCCUUGGAGCAAUCUUGCUUAAAAUCUGUCUUCCAUGAAAAUGCUUUGAUUGACAGUUCAAUUUUAUAAUGGUAACAAGAUCAACAGUCUUGCUGCUUUGUAUGAGUUUUAAGCAAGUAAAUGGGUCCCAGAGUUUCCUUCAGGCUCUCUAGCACGGUGCUGGAAAUGCAGCAUCAGUGUCAAACGAAGCGUGACCAGCAGGGCAAAGUGAGUGGCUGUUCACCUCUAUUCUUCCCUUGUGAGAUUUCAUUUGCAGUACUGCAUUCAGCUCUGGGGGCACCAACAUGAGGACACAAAGUUGUUGCAGUGAGCCCUGAAUAAAGCCAAAAAGAUGAUCAGAGGGGUGGAGCACGUAUAAAGGUAGGCUAAGAGUGUUGAGGCUCUGGGUAAGGAGUCUCUGGGGAGACUAUAGUGGCCUUCCAGUAUUCAAAAGGGGCCUCAAUCUCAAGAUGAGGAGAGAUGCUUUAUCAGGGACUGUAGUAAUAGCACAAUGGGUAACAGCUUUAAACUAAAAGGGGGUAGAUAUGGAUAAGCUAUUACAAAUAAAUUCUUCAUUCAGAGGGCAGUGAGGCGCUGGCACAGCUGCCCAUGUAAGCUGUGGUGCCCCAUCCCUGGAGAUGCUCAAGUCCAGGUUGGAUGGGGCCCUGGGCAGCUGAGCUGAGGGGGGGCAGCCCUGUCCAUGGCACAGGGUGGGACUGGGUGGGCUUUGAGGUCCCUUCCAAACCAAAUGUAUGAUUCUGUAAAUUUUAGCACAUAAAUUGUUGAUAUAAAUUUUAGAAAAUGCAACCAGGUAUUUUCCUUCCUCACUUACAGCAAAUGCUUGAUCCACAAAAUGGGAAGUUUGUUACUGUGGUCUUAUCAACACUGUCAUAAAGAAGCCAGAUUCAUUACAAGUAAAGGUCUACACCUUGUAACAGUGUGAUCAGACAAAGACCUUGCAUUUACAUGUUAAUCUCUGAGCAGUGAGUGAUGUGUACUAAGCAUGUCCUUUGGUCAAGAUUGUUGCUUGUAACUGAAAAUAACAUGCUUUAACUUAAGAGUUUUGAGGAAUCUGGAAUUUAAAGCACUGACACCAUAAAGCUAGUCACUGUUCUUUGGGGCAGGUUCUGGCACCAGGGCCUCUUCAGUACCCUAACCACGAUGUAAAGCUGUUUUUCCUGGCAAAUAGACUGGAGAAAAUACGGUACAAACAACUAUUCUUCCCCAAACGAUGCUCAUCUCUAGAGUUGGGAAACAGAAUAUGCACUGCAAAAAAAGUAGUGACAUGGAACAGAUGAACUUGACUGCUGCUGCCUCCAGUAUACAUCAUUUUUCUUUUGUCCACGUUUGUAUAAAUGUCACACAGUGCUGCUAAUAUGAAUAGUCGAUGCCAAGUCUCUUUCUCUGCUGAAGAAGAGAACAACUGCAGCAGAGAAGUGAGUGUAUGGCUCCAAACCUGACUGUAGCUGUAAAAAAGGAUUUCGGAAAUGUGGUUGGGAAUGUCUUCAGGACCAGUAGCAGCCUCUGCUUCUUCAACAGUGCUUAAACUGAAAGAACAACCAAAGCAGUGACGGAUAGGGCCUUGCUAUAAUGAAAUCAGAGGAGAAAAAAAAGAACAAAUUUCGAAUUAGCUUAAAUGGUGUUGGGAUUCCUAGCAGAGGUAUAUAAUGCGGAGUGUGUUUUGAUUCACAUUCCAAUUUCUGGAUCAUAACAUCAUUCUGGGUUGUAUAAUUUCCACUGUGCUAUUAAAAAGAGGGGAAACUGAAAGCUGAACACGCAGGAUUGUAUGGUUUCUAAACUUUGCUUCAGAAUCUUACAUGUGCUUUCAUUGUUAGCCUGCUCUCUUGGGCACUCUCACUUGCUUACAUAUUCCCUUAAGACAACCUUUACAUGAGACAUUGACAGAAUUUUUACAGAGGUGAUAAAUCUUUUUCCUAGGCUACUAAUCUACUGUAUUUUAUUGUUUACUCAAGCAUUUCUUUCCCAGACUUCGAAAGCAAUUCAGGUACAGCGUCAUUCUUACCUUCAUUUUCUUGACGUGGAGAGAAAUCUUUCAAAUUUUUAACCAGAUCUUUGCAUGAACUGUUGAUAAUGCUUGGUCUGUCUUUCAACAUCAGUUUCACAUCUCCGUUACCCUUGCUAACUGAAGAAAUGGUCUAUCUGAAUCGAAGGAACAAUGACAUGUCUUUCCUUCUUCACUAGAGAACAGUAAAAUCAAACAAAUGAAACAGAAAUAACUCUACUUUCUUAAUACGACAUGUUUUACCUCUGUAACGGUUUCAUUUAUCAUAACAUAUGAAUAUUGACACAUUGUCAUUUACUUCUAUUCCUAAGCAUAUUUACAAUUAUUACAGACAAGUUCAUUUAAAGCCAGAAAUCUGUGCUACUACUUUCUACAAGAACAGCAUAGAAAAACUUUCUUCUUUUAUUCCUGCCUGUCCUUAACAUGAGCAGAAUUAGCAGGUAAUGAAAUAUAUUAGGAAGGAUUGAGUGUUAACUGCAAGAACCCAGCGCUCCACUUGUUAUUUUAAAAACAAUGAGUGUCACAUUUAAGAUGAUAAUGAGCAUCAGAGCUGAAGUGAGAUUAGAAACUUUUAAGUGAGCCUUAAUUACGUUUCUCAAUUCUCAGUAAUCGCCUGACAGUAAAUCCCUACUACGCCAGUCAAAGCAGAAUACGAGAGGGCUCUUUGUGUUUUCCUUUCUUAAAAUACUGCAAGGGCUUUCUGCAGGAUUUUCCUGAUAUCUUUUAUUCACCAUGUCACUAAUUAAGGGUUCAAAACUAAGUGGCCGGGGAUAUGCCUCCUCUAAUUACACAUCAUAAACUGUCUACUGUAUUUUGUAGCUUUAUUCUGAGUUUCUCAGGCUAUGUUUAGAAGCAAAAGGUCUCAAAUUCAGUUUGAUAUCAUGAAUAAUUCACUUAUUUCCUCGUACUCGCUUCUAAGAAACUGCCUAGGUUUAAUAUACUGUAGUCAAUAGGCAGCACCUAGUGGUCUUGAAAUGCAUACACUUUUCAAGUUCUUAGCAGUUCAACAUCUCAAAAUAAGCAUUUCAUGAACUAAAAGCAAUAAUUAGGUUUCAUAUGUGUAUGUGUGUUUGUAUAUGUGUUUGCAGGGGAAAGAAAAUACUCAAUUUCUGACUCUUUCUGAGGUCUAGAUCUUCAUGUAUAGGGAAUUUUUUCUGUAUUAAUUCAAAGAUUUAUAUAAGAUAAGAAAAAUCUUGAGGUGUUUAAAAGUCACUUGUUACAAUAGAGCUGAUCUAUAUAAUGACUUUGCAUUUAAGAAGAAAAACAAUAUCUGCCAUUCUUUGUAAUGAAUAACAUACUUUAAUAUAUUAAUCCAAAUGAGACUCUUCAAUUUUAAACUCAAGGCUUACAAUCAUGGUACCUGGCAGUAUUGAUGAUCAAACUUCAGAGAUGAUUUCAACUAAAAUGAAUUUAAAAGAAAAAGCUAUCUAAAAAACAGCUCUCUGUAAUUGCUAAGAAAAGAACAAAUUAAAAGGAGGAAAGUUGGUCAGUUAAGCUUAUUAUAACAAACUGAUAUCCGUAAGAUUGCAUACCUCAAAGAUAUGUUUCAUCUUUAAUCAUGUUACAAUAGUUGGAUCAUUAACUUUAGGUUUUUUACCAAUAAUUUGUUUACAGAUCCAUCAUGCAGGAUUUUUUUUUGCCUUCUACUGAGUUUCUCACUUCAAUAGCAAGUAUAUUAUAUCUGAGUCUAUGUGAAGUAUUGCUAGAAAUAGGAGUGAGAUAAACAGGCUUGCAUCAACAAAAAUACUCCUUGCAUUUUUCAGUGCUCUUCUGUAGUUUAUUGCAAACUUUGAUUCAGAAAAAAUAAAUAAUGCACCAGUAAAAAUCCAAUCUGAUCAAGAAGACAGUCUGUAUUUCUAUUUUUGGGUGCCAUGAAAGGUCAUAACAUGGAAUGACCAACAAAACAGUAGUAAAGCCUCUGGAUUGCCAUGGAUGGAUAGAGUUUCAUAGUUCUUAGACAUGUACUGAAGCUUUCAAAACUGCUGUCUUCUUUUAAAAUGAACCUUGUUACAUUCAAAACAAAUAAAAUACUGUAAAACUGAACGUAAAGCGUGCCUACAAAAUUAAAUCUGAAGCCACUGUACAACUACAAAGCUGUUCCACUGAAACUAAUGAAAAGAAAGGCAUUGCUCCUUUGAUAAUAAUUCUCUGUGAACCAAGGAAUUCAGCAAAAUACCUUUCUAAGACAUCUUUUCAUAGGAGAUGAGGAGCUUGUUGCCUUCAAAAAACGGACUUGUUCUUGUGGAAGACUACACAAAUCCAUAGCUAAAAUGUGUAGGCGCUCUACAUUUCCGUAUUUGUUAAAAGCAGGGACUUGAGUGCCUCUUUCCCCAGUCUUACCUAAACUAUGUCUUACUUAGAAUUAUAGAAUCUUAAAACUGUACAAUGCCCCAAGUUGGAAGUGACUCACAAGGAUCAUUGAGUCCAGCUCCUGGCUCCACACAGGACCACCUAAAAAUCAAUCUAUAUUUCUGAGAGUAUUGGCCAAACACCUCUUGAACUGAAGCAGGCUCGAGGUGAGGCUGCACAGAGCUCUCCCAGUGGCAGUGCUGGCCCUGAUACACCCCAAAGUGUGCUUGGCUCUUCUAGAUGCCUGGGCACACUGCUGACUCUGGUUCAAUUUGCUGUCAGCCAUAACCCUCAGAUUCCUCUCCACGGGAUUGCCUUCAUGCCUCUUAUCCUCAGCCUGUGGAAUGGCUUGGGUUGGAAGAGACCUCAAGAGUCAUGAAUCUCCAACCCCCCCUGCCACAUGCAGGGCCACAAACCUCCAU